RNAcentral lists this ribosomal RNA (1371 nucleotides) under Salmonella enterica subsp. enterica serovar Enteritidis. RNAcentral describes it as "partial 23S ribosomal RNA". It matches the Rfam family "Bacterial large subunit ribosomal RNA", at positions 1538 to 2883 of the family's 2925-position model. The record is from RNAcentral. Lineage: Bacteria; Pseudomonadati; Pseudomonadota; Gammaproteobacteria; Enterobacterales; Enterobacteriaceae.
AAAUCCGGUUCACUUUAACACUGAGGCGUGACGACGAGGCACUACGGUGCUGAAGCAACAAAUGCCCUGCUUCCAGGAAAAGCCUCUAAGCAUCAGGUAACAUCAAAUCGUACCCCAAACCGACACAGGUGGUCAGGUAGAGAAUACCAAGGCGCUUGAGAGAACUCGGGUGAAGGAACUAGGCAAAAUGGUGCCGUAACUUCGGGAGAAGGCACGCUGACACGUAGGUGAAGUGAUUUACUCAUGGAGCUGAAGUCAGUCGAAGAUACCAGCUGGCUGCAACUGUUUAUUAAAAACACAGCACUGUGCAAACACGAAAGUGGACGUAUACGGUGUGACGCCUGCCCGGUGCCGGAAGGUUAAUUGAUGGGGUCAGCGCAAGCGAAGCUCCUGAUCGAAGCCCCGGUAAACGGCGGCCGUAACUAUAACGGUCCUAAGGUAGCGAAAUUCCUUGUCGGGUAAGUUCCGACCUGCACGAAUGGCGUAAUGAUGGCCAGGCUGUCUCCACCCGAGACUCAGUGAAAUUGAACUCGCUGUGAAGAUGCAGUGUACCCGCGGCAAGACGGAAAGACCCCGUGAACCUUUACUAUAGCUUGACACUGAACAUUGAGCCUUGAUGUGUAGGAUAGGUGGGAGGCUUUGAAGUGUGGACGCCAGUCUGCAUGGAGCCGACCUUGAAAUACCACCCUUUAAUGUUUGAUGUUCUAACGUGGACCCGUUACCCGGGUUGCGGACAGUGUCUGGUGGGUAGUUUGACUGGGGCGGUCUCCUCCUAAAGAGUAACGGAGGAGCACGAAGGUUGGCUAAUCCUGGUCGGACAUCAGGAGGUUAGUGCAAUGGCAUAAGCCAGCUUGACUGCGAGCGUGACGGCGCGAGCAGGUGCGAAAGCAGGUCAUAGUGAUCCGGUGGUUCUGAAUGGAAGGGCCAUCGCUCAACGGAUAAAAGGUACUCCGGGGAUAACAGGCUGAUACCGCCCAAGAGUUCAUAUCGACGGCGGUGUUUGGCACCUCGAUGUCGGCUCAUCACAUCCUGGGGCUGAAGUAGGUCCCAAGGGUAUGGCUGUUCGCCAUUUAAAGUGGUACGCGAGCUGGGUUUAGAACGUCGUGAGACAGUUCGGUCCCUAUCUGCCGUGGGCGCUGGAGAACUGAGGGGGGCUGCUCCUAGUACGAGAGGACCGGAGUGGACGCAUCACUGGUGUUCGGGUUGUCAUGCCAAUGGCACUGCCCGGUAGCUAAAUGCGGAAGAGAUAAGUGCUGAAAGCAUCUAAGCACGAAACUUGCCCCGAGAUGAGUUCUCCCUGAGACUUAAAGUCUCCUGAAGGAACGUUGAAGACGACGACGUUGAUAGGCCGGGUGUGUAAGCGCAGCGAUG